This 1478-nucleotide long non-coding RNA is filed under the name Strigops habroptila (Kakapo). Its description in RNAcentral is "lncRNA (ENSSHBG00005003694.1)". Lineage: Eukaryota; Metazoa; Chordata; Aves; Psittaciformes; Psittacidae. The record is from RNAcentral.
UUUUUGAAUUAGGUUUUUUAUUAGACGAACAUGGGUUUAAUAUAUAACGUGUACACGGCCUAUGAUGCAACAUGCUCCCUCUCCCACUGAGUUACAAAACACGGAUGCCAUGAAGGUGGACAACAACUCUGCGUUUGUGACCUCACGGGAUGUGACAGAGGACCAGGAAUAGAAGCUUUGCACAUAGGUGGGUCUAAGCAGGACAGGAUGAAGCACAUUAGGAAGAGGUAAAGAAUAGGAAGAAGAGAGUAAGCCGGAUCUGCCCUGGCUGAAGGACUGCUCUCAAAAAGCUGUUCUCCAUUUCCCCUCUCAAAUUCCUUAGGGAGCAAGAGGAUGGUGGCUAGGCCAUGAUGCAGCUGGAGUCCCAUGGAGAGCAGCAUUGUGUGGUUGCACACACGCACUGCCAGCCAAGGGCCCCUGUGAGCACCCUCCUCCUCCCGCUGCUUGUGCCAGGAUCUAGUGAAGUCAGUGGGCAAGCCACUGAAGACUAAUGGGAUUUGGCACUUUCCUGGUGAUGACCCGCUCUUGCACUCCUGUGAAGUGCCACAAGGUACUGCCUACAUCUCAGGGUCCUACUUCUGAAUCAUGGUAUUCCCAGAAUUGGACUCCCCAAGUAAACGGCCUGAUGGGGAGACAGGGCAGGGAAGAGAUCCAAGAAAUCCAUUGAAAGCUUGGUAGCUCCACUUCAUUUCAGUGAUAGCACUUGGGCUGCUCAACCCUCGAAUCAGAUAGUUAUUUUAAAGCGUAAACAUGAAUUUAGGGGCUUUACUCCACGUCCACUUCCCUUGGAAGGUUUGAUUCAAGACAGUCAACAAAAAGGAAAAGGAAAGAAAAAUACAAAAAGCCACACUAACAUAAAUCCAGAGUCCAGCAGACUCAUCAAAAACUGUUUCAGCCUUACAAAGCAUGUGUCUUUUGACUCAGGCCUCAAAAUCAAUGCACUGUAUUAUUAAAAAAUAGCAAUAUAGAAACUACCCCUUUCUUAGUUCAAAGUUUAAGCACAUGUAAGAAGACCCUACAGAAACAGUCCUCUUUCCGGCAAGGCACUAUCCAGUAGUGUGUGGCACAAACAAAAACACCGCUGUCAAAGCCACUGAUACAGUGAACGUGUGCGUGCACGUCAGCCCACACAGCAACUUCAGCUAGGUACAAAGGUUUACAGAUUAAUUCACACUACUCUCCCUUUUAAAAACACAGGGUAGAUACAAGUAUUAGCUAAAAACAGGGAUCAUUUGGUUCUCAUAUGCAUAUGCAAGUAUUUUAAACAGAAUAAAGAAUUUGUUAUUCCUUUCAAUAAAUGGCUCUAUUUUCCACAGACCUUGUCAGUUACUUGAUAGCUACAUUUCAUUAUUACAAAACUGGUUUAAAAAAUCCCACAUCAUCUUGUGUAACAAACUAGAACUCUACUUGCUUUAAUUACAAAAAUAAGGCUGUCACGCAACAGACCAAAUUCACAUUCAAGCAACGUAUAUAUAUUU